RNAcentral lists this transfer RNA (85 nucleotides) under Ruminococcus flavefaciens. Its description in RNAcentral is "tRNA_Leu_GAG". It matches the Rfam family "tRNA". From Rfam's summary of the family: Transfer RNA (tRNA) molecules are approximately 80 nucleotides in length. Their secondary structure includes four short double-helical elements and three loops (D, anti-codon, and T loops). The record is from RNAcentral. Lineage: Bacteria; Bacillati; Bacillota; Clostridia; Eubacteriales; Oscillospiraceae. RNAcentral also lists the same sequence under 1 other name.
GCGAGUGUGCUGGAAUAGGCAGACAGGCACGUUUGAGGGGCGUGUGUCGUAAGACGUAUGGGUUCAAGUCCCAUUACUCGCACCA